GACGAACGCUGGCGGCGUGCCUAAUACAUGCAAGUAGAACGCACAGUCUAUACCGUAGCUUGCUACACCAUAGACUGUGAGUUGCGAACGGGUGAGUAACGCGCAGGUAACCUGCCUGGUAGCGGGGGAUAACUAUUGGAAACGAUAGCUAAUACCGCAUAAUAUUGAUUAUUGCAUGAUAAUUGAUUGAAAGAUGAUAUUGCAUCAAUACAAGAUGGACCUGCGUUGUAUUAGCUAGUAGGUGAGGUAACGGCACACCUAGGAGACGAUACCUAGCCGACCUUGAGGGGGGGUCGGCCCCCCUGGGCCUGGUACACCGCCCAGACUCCUUCGGGGGGCAGCAGUAGGGAAUCUUCGGCCAUUGACCAAAAUCUGGCCGGACUACGCCGCGUGGGGGAAGAAGGUUUUCGGAUCGUUAAGCUCUGUUGUAUGAGGAGAACGGGUGUGAGAGUGGAAUGUUCACACUGUGACGGUAUCUUACCAGAAAGGGACGGCUAACUACGUG
This 505-nucleotide ribosomal RNA is filed under the name uncultured bacterium. RNAcentral's name for it is "partial 16S ribosomal RNA". It matches the Rfam family "Bacterial small subunit ribosomal RNA", at positions 28 to 507 of the family's 1533-position model. The record is from RNAcentral.